GAGCAUCAAUCCCCGUCUUCAUCUUAUGCUAGUAUAUUUGAAAAGCUGGAUGUAUCCGAGGCAGCUGAAUUGGAUGAGAGUUUUGAUGAGGUGCCUCCUGGUAUGGAGACUGGCUCAGCUUCUGUGGUGGUCAUGGACAAAAACAAAUACCGACCUUCAAAAUCAAUCAACUCUAUGCCUGGAAUUUCUAGAUAUAUCACCGUGGCUAUCUGCAGGCAGACACUGCAUAAGAAUGUUAUAGAAGAGUGGACAUCUCUCCUGUCAGAUACUAUCAGCGAGUGCCUUGAUUCAUGGUAUACCAAGCAGACUGUUGUGCCUAAAAACAUCGACAGAUCAUUGGGACCUAGUAAAGAAUAUGCCUACUACAGAAAGAGACAGUUAAGGAACAGCUGUGAAGCAGUGUCAUCCGAAAAAGCAGUGGGAACUCCAAUGGAUGAGCAGCUUUCCAAGCCUCUAUGUGAGCUUGUCGAGCGCAAGGUGCAUCUUAAAAAUGUCCAGGAACCAAGGAUGGCCGGGAAGUCGAAAAAGUCCUCCAAGAGUCGUACCAAAACUCUUGAUAAUAUUGUAAACACUUCGAAUAUUGAACAAGGCUUGAAACGGAUUUCCAAUGAUGUGCCAAAGACCCCCAAGAGUCGUGCCAAAACUCUUGAUAAUGAUGUAAACCCUUUGAAUAUCGAACAAGGCUUGAAGCGGCUUUCCAAUGAUGUGCCAAAGGCCUUCAAGAGUCGUACAAAAACUCUUGAUAAUGCUGUAAACCCUUUAAAUAUCCAACAAGGCUUGAAGCGUCUUUACAAUGAUGUGCCUAAGGCCUCCAAGAGUCGUACCAAAACUCUUGAUAAUGCUGUGAAUCCUUUGAAUAUCGAACAAGGCUUGAAGCGGCUUUCCAAUGAUGUGCCAAAGACCUCCAAGAGUCGUGCCAAAACUCUUGAUAAUGUUGUAAACCCUUUGAAUAUCGAACAGGACUUGAAGCAGCUUUCCAAUGAUGUGCCAAAGACCUCCAAGAGUCGUACCAAAACUCUUCAUAAUAUUGUAAACCCUUUGAAUAUCGAACAGGACUUGAAGCGGCUUUCCGAUGAUGUGCCAAAGACCUCCAAGAGUCGUACCAAAACUCUUGAUAAUAUUGUAAACCCUUUGAAUAUCGAACAGGACUUGAAGCAGCUUUCCAAUGAUGUGCCAAAGAGUAAGCAUUUUAAUCCUAUUUGCUUCAUCCCCUGUAAAUUUGCAUAGAUUAAUCACAUGCAUCAUCUUUCUCUUCUAGGACAAAGGACUUCUCAUCUUACUAGGAAGCCUUUGGUUGAUAAUAAGGUUCCUUUUGAGAACGUUAGUGUGCCCACAAAGCUGGCAAAGAAAAGAAAGAACAAGAACAUGUCUACUGACUCCAGUCAGAAGGCAAAACCAUUGAUUUUAUGUCCAGAGUCAGAUGGCUGUGCAAGAGCUUCCUCCAAUGGGUGGGAGUGGCGUAAUUGGGCACGCACCGCCACUCCAUCAGAAAGGACUCGUGUGAGAGGGUACCGUGUUCGGAGUAUUCUUUCAACUUCAGCUAAUAAUGUGUGGAAAAAUCCGCAAGUUAAAGGUACAUCUGCACGAACAAAUCGCGUUAAAUUACGAAACCUGUUAGCUGCUUCUGAAGGCACCGAGCUACUAAAAAUUACCCAAUCAAAGGUAAACAAAUCAUUGCAUGUACACAAGUUUCUCUUGCCAUGACAGUUUGAAUGACCACUGACUCUACCUUUGGCAUAUAGGCAAGGAAGAAGCGGUUACGUUUUCAAAGGAGCAAGAUCCAUGAAUGGGGUCUGGUGGCCCUUGAGUCAAUUGAUGCAGAAGAUUUCGUUAUUGAAUAUGUUGGUGAACUGAUUCGCCGGCCGGUAAUUUUGUUAUCCUUGAAUCCAAGAUAUCCC
This 1898-nucleotide long non-coding RNA is filed under the name Hordeum vulgare. RNAcentral's name for it is "long non-coding RNA (HVUL_LNC011495)". The record is from RNAcentral. Lineage: Eukaryota; Viridiplantae; Streptophyta; Magnoliopsida; Poales; Poaceae.